Hyaena hyaena (striped hyena) is the source of this 236-nucleotide long non-coding RNA. RefSeq lists it as uncharacterized. Lineage: Eukaryota; Metazoa; Chordata; Mammalia; Carnivora; Hyaenidae. The transcript is spliced from 3 exons. The record is from RefSeq and is a predicted model, not a curated record.
GCCCAGCGGUCGGCCUCCUCGGCGCUCAUUCCCGAAGCUCCUGGAGGUGCCGGCUCAGCUAAGUUGUUAUUCUGGCCAACACCCCAAACCACAGAUGUGGGGCACCGUCUAACCAAAGGAAACAGCUCCGUCCGUUGAGGACACAGCCAGAAGACAGCCAUCUCUGAACCAGGAAGCAGGUUUCCAUCACAUAUCGAAACAGCCAGCACUUGAUCUUGGACUUCAGAGCCUCCGCA